This 849-nucleotide long non-coding RNA is filed under the name Canis lupus familiaris (dog). Its description in RNAcentral is "lncRNA (ENSCAFG00030014264.1)". The record is from RNAcentral. Lineage: Eukaryota; Metazoa; Chordata; Mammalia; Carnivora; Canidae.
UCGGAGUCUGAUUCUAGACUGAGCGCCCCCACGUAUUAGACGAAGUUGCUGGCUCUCCAGUGUGAUAGUCUCUACCACUGGCAGCACGCCUGAGCUCUCAGGCUCCGGGCUUCAUUCAGCAAGCUGGGUUUCAAGAGCAAGCCAAGGCCAAGGACUUGGGACAGAGCUGUUUUGGUGGGAGAGGAGGCAGGAAAGGCUUGGGCCAUGAGGGAGGCAGGGGGCUCAGGUGGAGGUGAAACAGGAGGCGCUUAACUGUAGUUGACAUGGGAUAUGUCUGUGAUACAUGUACUUGUGGCUGAAGUCAAUGGUGUGCCUGUGUGUGCGUGUGUGUGCGUGUGUGUGUGUGUGUCUAGUAGUCGCUGUUGUGCAUACACAACAUUUGUCCAAAAAGGCUCUUAUUUUUCAAGAGCCGGCCUGAUUGGGGCAGUGUGUGUCCUGGAACUGCCAAGGCAGUGUGUGUGUGUGUGUGUGUGUGUGUGUGUGUGUGUGUUGGGGGUAGAUGUGACAAACGCAGCUCUUGAUAAGGCACCAUCGAAAGGUUUCUCAAUUUCUUCGGUGAUUGGGGAUUUUUUUUAUGUUCCUGCUGCACAUGAAAUGAAAGGCUUCUAUUUGAUUCAUUCGUUUAGGCAUGUGCUGAGCUCAGCCCAGAAGAUUGUUCUCUAUGUUGGGACUGGCCCUCCCAGAGAUAAAGGGAGCACAAAGUGUGAUUCCCACGGCUCUGAACCUUUGGCCUGGCAGCACAGUGCAGAAAGCAUGAGUAGGGGUGCAGGUCCCCAGGCUGUGGCGGGAUUCCUCAAGCUGUGGUGUGCGUAUGCAGGCUGUGGUGUAAGUCCCCAGGCUAUGAUGUAA